RNAcentral lists this ribosomal RNA (229 nucleotides) under uncultured bacterium. RNAcentral's name for it is "partial 16S ribosomal RNA". It matches the Rfam family "Bacterial small subunit ribosomal RNA", at positions 96 to 334 of the family's 1533-position model. The record is from RNAcentral.
CGGCGAACGGGUGAGUAACGCGUGGAUAUCUACCCUGAGGUGGGGGAUAACCCGAGGAAACUCGGGCUAAUACCGCAUGAUACCGCGAGGUCAAAGAGGGCUUCGGCUCUCGCCAUGGGAUGAGUCUGCGUCCGAUUAGCUAGUUGGUGAGGUAAUGGCUCACAAAGGCGACGAUCGGUAGCCGGCCUGAGAGGGUGAUCGGCCACACUGGAACUGAGACACGGUCCAG